AUUGAACGCUGGCGGCAUGCUUUACACAUGCAAGUCGAACGGCAGCGCGGGCUUCGGCCUGGCGGCGAGUGGCGAACGGGUGAGUAAUACAUCGGAACGUGCCCAGGAGUGGGGGAUAGCUCGGCGAAAUCGGAAUUAAUGCCGCUUACGACCUGAGGGGGAAAACGGGGGAGCUUGGGACUUGGGGCUCUUGUAGCGGCCGAUGCCAGAUUAGCUAGUUGGUGGGGUAAAGGCCUACCAAGGCGACGAUCUGUAGCUGGUCUGAGAGGACGACCAGCCACACUGGGACUGAGACACGGCCCAGACUCCUACGGGAGGCAGCAGUGGGGAAUUUUGGACAAUGGGCGAAAGCCUGAUCCAGCAAUGCCGCGUGUGUGAUGAAGGCCUUCGGGUUGUAAAGCACUUUUGGCGGGAACGAAAAGGACUGUGCCAAUACCACGGUUCGAUGACGGUACCCGCAGAAUAAGCACCGGCUAACUACGUG
This 484-nucleotide ribosomal RNA is filed under the name uncultured bacterium. RNAcentral's name for it is "partial 16S ribosomal RNA". It matches the Rfam family "Bacterial small subunit ribosomal RNA", at positions 29 to 507 of the family's 1533-position model. The record is from RNAcentral.